ACAAAACUUGCACUGUAGCCUCGAUGACACGAGCAGACAGCUGUUGUUAGAGGCACUUAAGGAAAGGGCCAAUACCUGCAUCUUAUUAAACCAACAGGACAUUUGGAGAUGAAUGACAUCCUGAUUGGUAGCCAUGUUUGAUUGCACCCACCCACCAGUGUUAAUCCAUAACCCACGAGACAAGAGCAGAUUUUGAUCUUUCACCCACUGCCUAACAUGGAGAAAAUAGUUUGGCAGCUGGAGCACUCCAAGAAACUGCAGAUGGCUGGGCGAUGCUUGAAAGAGAGAAAGAAGUGGAAAAAUGGCAGCACCAAAUUUGGAGCAGAGAGUGGAGUCAUUAAAAGCAUUUCAGUACAAAUUCAACUGACAUGAC
Long non-coding RNA from Notolabrus celidotus (New Zealand spotty), 373 nucleotides. RefSeq lists it as uncharacterized. The record is from RefSeq and is a predicted model, not a curated record. Lineage: Eukaryota; Metazoa; Chordata; Actinopteri; Labriformes; Labridae. The transcript is spliced from 3 exons.